GUAAUUUAAUUCAGUUUGUUAUGAAACUAUCAUAUGAUUUAAUCACCAUUUUUCUCAGUGAGGUUUGACAAAUAUUUUUAUUCGAAGCACAAUCAAUAAUUGCGUGGACAAACCCGAAAACUGCUAAAGGCAUAUUAGGUAAGUGAAAUAAUACCAAACAGACAUGGAAUAGCAAACUUCACUACAUUUGUGGUUUCUUUCAUACAUUGACAUUUUGAAUAGUUUUUUAUAUUACAAAUGACGUACAGUUAAUAUCUUUAUAGUGCUUUUAUGACGUUCCUGCAUGAAAUACUGGCUGAAAAUAAAAAUAAAACAAUUAGCAGACUCCAACUCCUGUACCAAGUCAGGAAUAUGGCAGUUUUAUCCAUUCGUUUUAUGUGUUUGAGCUUUUGAUUUUGACAUGUGAUUAAAGAAAAGUAAAAGCAUAAAAAUACUGAACUCCGCGAAAAAUUCAAAAAGGUAAGUCCCUAAUUAAAUGGCAAAAUCAAAAGCUCAAACACAUCAAACGAAUGAAUAACAACUGUCAUAUUCUUGACAUAAUACAGGCAUUUUUCUUAUGUAGAAAGAUGGUGGAUUGAAAAUGGUUUCAUAUCUAGUUAAACCUCUCACUAGUAUGACAGUCGAAUCAAAUUGUAUUGAAUACGAUGCGUGAACAAAUCAAACAGACACAAUAGGAAAAGAUUUCAAAAUAUUGGUACAGCGGUCAACACUGUGUUAUUUUUUAUCUUUAUAAAAUCAAACAAAUCUAACAAAGAAGCAUAAAAAGGCAAACAUCAAAUUUAACAACCUACAUGCAAUUUUGCUUUUUAUAAUACGUUUUUAUUUAUCUAUAUAAAAUCCACCCAUAAAGGAUUGGAAGAAUUUAAGUAAUGGGGCCGAAUCUUAACAUUGACAGACACAUGGUUAGAAUAACAUAACUCUGACAUAGAACCGUGCGUUUGUAGUCACACAGGUAGAUAGACAAUAUUUUAGUCGUUCAAAGUAUGACGGGACGCAUAAAUACAGGGCCACGUCAAAUGGACAUCACAAAACACAGGUCUUGGUGACUUCCGAUGAAUUUUUUAAGAAGCUGAGACAAUACUGUAGUAUCGGUAUGUUGCAGUAUUAAUUGACAGAUGAACGUUACUGGCAACUUAGAUGCCAAUUGAGUGCUAAAAAUUAAUAAGCGAUUUUUUUCAGACACUAUGGAAUAAUGAAAAUAUUCGACUAUGCUUGGGAAUAUGGAUACGUAAUGUGAAGGACACGUUUAUGUAACCGGGCGACUGGCUACUAAAUUGAAGUUGAUAACGAGCUCAACCCACGACCAGUUGCUGAUGUUGGCGAUGCCACGUUCGGCAAUGACUACGCCUUAGUCAUGUCUAAGAAUAUUCGGUUUAACUCCACUUGUAGAAUUUAACAUAAGUCAAUUUAAUGAUUCAGGAUGGAAUACAUGGAAUUUUAAAAAACUGAGCGUAGGUUGUCAGUACGAAUGCCUGACUCUCACUGAAGUUAGAACUUCAGAAAACAUAUUUAAAUCAAAAAUUGACAUGGUUACAGUAUAUCGAAUGACAAUGAAAUAAUACAAUUACAAUUAAAGGAUUACUUAUAGAAUAUAACAACAAUCUAUCGUUUGAGAUUAAGGCUAAAAAGCGCUAAAUGAAAUUAAGAAGAUCUAUGUAAAGUUGUGACAAUAUCUGUUAUUUGUCAAAGGUAUUAUUUUAGUUUUUAUAAAAGCAUACUUACACUCAAUUGUUACUUAUAACACAAAAAGUGUUAUAAAGAAAACUCGUUACAUGUCGAUAAAAUUACUUUGAUUUGAAAAUAUUGUAAAUGAAAUAAUUUCUAUAAAAUAAUGAUUAGUAUAUCAAUUUUAUUACAUUUUAUGACCGAACAAUUUGUCCGUGAAAGUCAAAAGAGGUAAGAUUUAAGAAAACUGAUCAUUUCAAAUAGUUCCGAAUAAAGAUGCACAAUUUUAAAUACUUAUUAUCGCUAUCACAUUUCAGCGAAAUAGCCAAGUUUGAAGUAUUGUAUAAAUUUGACUGCAGUAAUUUAUAAAAAAUUGAUAAAUAAAAUUGAUAACCUAAAUCAUAUUUCAAACAAACAGAUACCAGUUUGUAUGAUUUUUUUUUUAACUAAAGAAUCGUAACGGUUAAGCAUAACUCUAUACAUUUGAAUAAUUACAUACAUGUACUUCAAUUACUAAUUCAUUUUUGUUUGCGAAAUGUGGGAAACCUAUCAUUUGUCUUCCUCAAUUUUAAUUGUCUUUUUUACGUUGUUGCUAUUUACACAAAGAAGAAUGAGAUAAUUAAACAAAUAUAUUAUUCUUUAAUUUGUAUAAACUGAUAGCCUGGCUCGUAUUGAUAUUAUUGUUAAAUCAUAAAAUAAUUUG
This 2368-nucleotide long non-coding RNA is filed under the name Mytilus galloprovincialis (Mediterranean mussel). The record is from RNAcentral. Lineage: Eukaryota; Metazoa; Mollusca; Bivalvia; Mytilida; Mytilidae.